AGUCGUAACAAGGUUUCCGAAGGUGAACCUGCGGAAGGAUCAUUAAAAAAAAAAAAGUUGUGCGAGGCGGUCCCAGGCAUUGCCAGGUGGCCGCUUAGACAUCAACACCCUCUGUAUAUCUACUGCGUUGCUUUGGCGGGACGGCAGCCAACAGCUCUGCUGNNAGGCUGUCCGCAGGGCCUCUCAAGACCCCGCGAGUGCCCGCCAGAGGACCACCGAACUCAAUGUUAAACCAUGAUGUCUGAGCUUUACAAGCAAUAAGUUAAAACUUUCAACAACGGAUCUCUUGGUUCUCGCAUCGAUGAAGAACGCAGCGAAAUGCGAUAAGUAAUGUGAAUUGCAGAAUUCAGUGAAUCAUCGAAUCUUUGAACGCAUAUUGCGCCCCUUGGUAUUCCGAGGGGCAUGCCUUUUCGAGCGUCAUUACAACCUUCAAGCUCUGCUUGGUAUUGGGCCUCCGUCCCCACGCGGGCGGGCCUUAAAGUCAUCAGCGGCUGAGCGCACAGCUUCUAGCGUAGUAGAAAUUAACUCGCUGGGGGAGCUGGCGUCAGGUAGCUGUCAAACACGCGCUUCGUGCACAUCUUAGGUUGACCUCGGAUAAGGUAGGGAUACCCGCUGAACUUAAGCAUAUCAAUAAGCGGAGGAAAAGAAACCAACAGGGAUUGCCUCAGUAACGGCGAGUGAAGCGGCAACAGCUCAAAUUUGAAAUCUGGCCCUUUCAGGGCCCGAGUUGUAAUUUGGAGAGGAUGCUUCGGCUGCGGCCCUGGUCUAAGUUCCUUGGAACAGGACGUCACAGAGGGUGAGAACCCCGUACGUGGCUGGGCGCCUACGCCAUGUGAAGCUCCUUCGACGAGUCGAGUUGUUUGGGAAUGCAGCUCUAAACGGGAGGUAGAUUUCUUCUAAAGCUAAAUACCGGCGAGAGACCGAUAGCGCACAAGUAGAGUGAUCGAAAGAUGAAAAGCACUUUGGAAAGAGAGUUAAAAAGUACGUGAAAUUGUUGAAAGGGAAGCGCUUGCAACCAGACUUGGGCGUAGUUGCUUAGCUGGGCUUCUGCCCGGUGCACUCUUCUGCGCCCAGGCCAGCAUCAGUUCAGGCGGCCGGAUAAAGGCCUUGGGAAUGUAGCUCCCCUCGGGGAGUGUUAUAGCCCUAGGCGCAACGCGGCCUGCCCGGACUGAGGUCCGCGCUUCGGCUAGGAUGCUGGCGUAAUGGUUGUAAGCGGCC
This 1218-nucleotide ribosomal RNA is filed under the name uncultured fungus. RNAcentral describes it as "eukaryotic LSU rRNA". The stretch from base 586 to 1218 matches the Rfam family "Eukaryotic large subunit ribosomal RNA", at positions 1 to 649 of the family's 3401-position model. The record is from RNAcentral. Lineage: Eukaryota; Fungi.